RNAcentral lists this ribosomal RNA (254 nucleotides) under uncultured bacterium. RNAcentral's name for it is "partial 16S ribosomal RNA". It matches the Rfam family "Bacterial small subunit ribosomal RNA", at positions 524 to 776 of the family's 1533-position model. The record is from RNAcentral.
UACGAAGGGGGGCUAGCGUUGUUCGGAAUUACUGGGCGUAAAGCGCACGUAGGCGGAUAUUUAAGUCGGGGGUGAAAUCCCGGGGCUCAACCCCGGAACUGCCUUCGAUACUGGGUAUCUUGAGUUCGGAAGAGGUGAGUGGAAUUGCGAGUGUAGAGGUGAAAUUCGUAGAUAUUCGCAGGAACACCAGUGGCGAAGGCGGCUCACUGGUCCGAUACUGACGCUGAGGUGCGAAAGCGUGGGGAGCAAACAGG